GCUCACUGUCUUCCUGUCUGUGAGGUUACACAGGUGCUGCUCACUGUCUUCCUGUCUGUGAGGUUACACAGGUGCUGCUCACUGUCUUCCUGUCUGUGAGGUUACACAGGUGCUGCUCACUGUCUUCCUGUCUGUGAGGUUACACAGGUGCUGCUCACUGUCUUCCUGUCUGUGAGGUUACACAGGUGCUGCUCACUGUCUUCCUG
Molecule: long non-coding RNA, 206 nt
Organism: Oncorhynchus tshawytscha (Chinook salmon)
Lineage: Eukaryota; Metazoa; Chordata; Actinopteri; Salmoniformes; Salmonidae
Exons: 3
Source: RefSeq, a predicted model, not a curated record